UACGGAGGGAGCUAGCGUUGUUCGGAUAUACUGGGCGUAAAGCGCACGUAGGCGGCGCCGUAAGUCAGGGGUGAAAUCCCGGAGCUCAACUCCGGAACUGCCCUUGAAACUGCAGUGCUAGAAUCUUGGAGAGGCGAGUGGAAUUCCGAGUGUAGAGGUGAAAUUCGUAGAUAUUCGGAGGAACACCAGUGGCGAAGGCGGCUCACUGGCUCGGUACUGACGCUGAGGUGCGAAAGCGUGGGGAGCAAACAGG
This 253-nucleotide ribosomal RNA is filed under the name uncultured bacterium. Its description in RNAcentral is "partial 16S ribosomal RNA". It matches the Rfam family "Bacterial small subunit ribosomal RNA", at positions 524 to 776 of the family's 1533-position model. The record is from RNAcentral.